GGGAGAGAAGAUGCAUUUUUUUUAAUUGAUUUUUUAUGAUCAUACGUAAUAAUUAUUUCCAUACAACAAAUGAAACUCUGUUUCCGACUUAUUUUCAUCUCACAGUGAGAUCCACUGGUGGUGUGUCUCAGACUGAGGCUUUUCAUGAGGUAGGGGCAUAUAGUAUUGCUCUCCUAUGUAGACUCUUUCAUGACUAACAUGGCUUGGUUUGAUGCUAUAAAAUUCCUCCUGUGUAAGGCUUAGCCUUUCCUUCUGCUAUAUUCAGCUGCCUGAUCUCAUGAAAUACAUGGGGACCCAGCACCUUUGAAGCCACUAGCCUUAAGUGAAACUGGGAUGAAUAUGGCCAGGAGUUAUUUGCAAAGCAAAGACAGACGCAAGAGCACACAUACACUCAGAGCAUGACUGCAUCACUGUAAUUUCCAUAGAAGCUAAAAAAUAAAUGAAUACAAAAGUAUGACUUCACUGCACUGUGUCUUCCUUAAUUGUAAAAGUUCAGCUGGGCUCGUUAACCACAUUUUAACGCUAAGCGUAUCUGAAAACUCACGCUGCAGGCCUGAGGCAACUGCACUGAGCGCAGCCACAACAAAUUGUGUUUCAGGCUGCAUGCAUCUCCCUCUGCACAGCCAGACCCUGACAUGGAGUGCAAAGGCCGAGCAUGCUGUGGCAUUGCUGUAGAAGAGAGAAAAUGAAACCACUGCCCCAAAUAAAAACGUGAAAGCUCAUCUGCACCACCAGAGGAUUGGGCCUUCCUUCACCCCCACUGGCUGUGAGACAAUAUUGCAUUAUUGGAACACGUGUACUUCCCAAAUUCCGGCAGAAAGUGCACGUGACCCCUUUCCAGGUCUUAGCAGCUGAGAAAUACAUACGUUGAACAGUUCUGUGAGGAAUAAUUUAGAGUCUGGAGCUCCCAUGGCUUCACUAUAUGCUCAGCAGCAGUUCAGCAACGGAUGCUGUUGGUAGGAACCCAGCACGUAUAUUGCACAAAGGAAUUCUCACGGAGGCAAAUGGACUUCAGCACAAAAGGUGUUGCACGCUCGUGUAGUUCACAUGGAGAGUGAAGGAAUGUUCCUUUGUCUCCACUAGAUCUUCUAAGGGAUUGCAGUGAGUCUCCAUGGCUCUAACUGGAUUCUGUUGUGGUUCUCAAUGGCUCUGACUGGAUCCCAUUGUGGGUCUCAAUGGCCAUUGUUUGGGUGUCCCAUAUUCAGGGCCAGGGCUGACUGUUCUUCUGUCAGAGGAAUGUGGACAGCAUUGCAGAUUGCAGUCAGUCAGACUGAAGUGUGAUGCUCCCCAGGGUUGAAAGAUGUCUCCUUUCUUCUUGACCAUCAGCCAACUGAAAUCACUUUGGUUUGGGGAACAGGGAAGGGCUGGAUCCCUGACAUAUGAAACAUACCUGUUAAUCUCUGGAUUUGUAAGUAGCAGCAGAAAGAGGUUGGGCCUGUUAUGGGAGCUGCUUGUAAGAACCGUGACCUGACAGUGAGCAAAAUGUCAACUCCUCUUAACAAUGGAAUCACUAGACUGCUGUUGAACGAGAAGUUGUUCUCAAGCAGGCAUUCUGUCAUUUAAGUGACAUUCUUUCCUACUGAAUGCAAGCCUCUGCGCAGCAUUUCCUACUAUUGUUGCCUAGCAUCUGGAUUACUGCAGCUCCCUUCAGGGGGCUGGCAUUACAAAUUCUCCAAAAGCUUCAAGCACAUAAUUAGCUUGCUCCCUUAGCAAGCAGAAUUUCCCAGAGGGGAAGCACCACUGGCCCGUAACUUGCCUGAGCUGCCAUCAAGAGUCGAGAACAAGGCUGGUUCUUGAAGCUGCAGGGAUCUUGCAAAUUCAUUUGGACCAUAACUGGUAGUCUUAAAAGUUUGCUGGGGCUCUGACGCAGGAUUUGAGCAGAUUUAAUACUGUGCUUCAGAUAGCAAAGUCCAAGAGGAUCUGGGCUGCGGUUUGGCCAGAGCUGAGCCAACCCAAAAAGUCUGUGUUGCCAGAAGCCUCCGAUCCUACUCCCAGCUGCAUCUUCUAUCCCUUCCAAAUGCCCGGGCAAGCCCCAUCAGCUCCCCCCAUCAGCUGAGUAGCCCAGCACACCACUCACCUUUCCAGUGGCUUCAUUUUCUGUUAGGGUUAGCAUGACAA
Gallus gallus (chicken) is the source of this 2118-nucleotide long non-coding RNA. The record is from Ensembl. NCBI's taxonomy places the organism in Eukaryota, Metazoa, Chordata, Aves, Galliformes, Phasianidae.